Molecule: ribosomal RNA, 467 nt
Filed under: uncultured bacterium
Lineage: Bacteria
Description: partial 16S ribosomal RNA
Rfam family: Bacterial small subunit ribosomal RNA
Source: RNAcentral
GACGAACGCUGGCGGCGUGCUUAACACAUGCAAGUCGAACGGAAAGGCCCAGCUUGCUGGGUACUCGAGUGGCGAACGGGUGAGUAACACGUGGGUGAUCUGCCCCUGACUUUGGGAUAAGCCUGGGAAACUGGGUCUACUACCGGAUAUUCAUUUUUCCUCGCAUGGGGAUUUGUGGAAAGCUUUUGCGGUUCGGGAUGGGCCCGCGGCCUAUCAGCUUGUUGGUGGGGUAAUGGCCUACCAAGGCGACGACGGGUAGCGGCCCUGAGAGGGUGAUCGGCCGCCAUGGGAGUGAGAAACGGCCGCGCAUCCUACGGGAGGCAGCAGUGGGGAAUAUUGCACAAUGGGCGGAAGCCUGAUGCAGCGACGCCGCGUGAGGGAUGUAGGACUUCGGGUUGUAAACCUCUUUCAGCUCCGAAGAAGCGCAAGUGACGGUAGGAGCAGAAGAAGCACCGGCCAACUACGUG